UCCCUUGUGGCUUAGUUGGUAAAGAAUCUGCCUGCCAUGAGGGAGACCUAGGUUCGAUCCCUGGUUUGGGAA
RNAcentral lists this transfer RNA (72 nucleotides) under Capra hircus (goat). It matches the Rfam family "tRNA". From Rfam's summary of the family: Transfer RNA (tRNA) molecules are approximately 80 nucleotides in length. Their secondary structure includes four short double-helical elements and three loops (D, anti-codon, and T loops). The record is from Rfam by way of RNAcentral. Lineage: Eukaryota; Metazoa; Chordata; Mammalia; Artiodactyla; Bovidae. RNAcentral also lists the same sequence under 1 other name.